CGGACGGGUGGAGGUAACGACGUGGAAACCGUAGCGUACUACUGGGGAGUAACACUUAGAAAUAGGUGCUAAUACCGCAUAAGCGCACAGCUUCGCAUGAAGCGGUGUGAAAACUCUGGUGGUAUACGAUGGUUCCGCGUCUGAUUAGCUAGUUGGUGGGGUAAUGGCCUACCAAGGCAACGAUCAGUAGCCGGCUUGAGAGGGUGAACGGCCACAUUGGGACUGAGACACGGCCCAAACUCCUACGGGAGGCAGCAG
This 258-nucleotide ribosomal RNA is filed under the name uncultured bacterium. RNAcentral describes it as "partial 16S ribosomal RNA". It matches the Rfam family "Bacterial small subunit ribosomal RNA", at positions 99 to 354 of the family's 1533-position model. The record is from RNAcentral.